This 418-nucleotide ribosomal RNA is filed under the name Cyanodermella viridula. Its description in RNAcentral is "SSU rRNA". It matches the Rfam family "Bacterial small subunit ribosomal RNA", at positions 405 to 850 of the family's 1533-position model. Lineage: Eukaryota; Fungi; Ascomycota; Lecanoromycetes; Ostropales; Stictidaceae. The record is from RNAcentral.
UAGCUAAAGCUAUUUGUAUUAUUAAUACAAAAUCGUUAUGUCGACUAAAGUUCUAGAUAAUUAUUUGAUGAUGACAAUUUUUAUCUAUUAGUCUUGACUAAUUCUCGUGCCAGCAGUCGCGGUAAUACGAGUAAGGCUAGCGUUAUUCAUCUUUAUUGGGUCUAAAGGGUACCUAGACUGUUGAUAAAGCCUUUAUAGGAACUAAUCAACUUGAGUUUUAUAUGAGAAAGGUGUGAAUAGAGGAUGGAGAGAUUAAAUUUGAUGAUAUCUAUCUAGACAGUCAACGGCGAAAGCGACUUUUUAUGUAAAAACUGACGUUGAGGGACGAAGGCUUGACAUAAUGAAUAGGAUUAGAUACCCUAGUAAUUCAAGCAGAAAAUGAUGAAUGCUAUAGAUAAGAAUUAUUUUUUGUUUAUAA